CCUACGGGAGGCAGCAGUGAGGAAUAUUGGUCAAUGGCCGAAAGGCUGAACCAGCCAAGUAGCGUGAAGGAUGAUUGCCCUAUGGGUUGUAAACUUCUUUUAUAUGGGAAUAAAAUGUUCCACGUGUGGGAGUUUGUAUGUACCAUAUGAAUAAGGAUCGGCUAACUCCGUCCCAGCAGCCGCGGUAAUACGGAGGAUCCGAGCGUUAUCCGGAUUUAUUGGGUUUAAAGGGAGCGUAGGUGGGUUGUUAAGUCAGUGGUGAAAGUUUGCGGCUAAAGCGUAAAAUUGCAGUUGAUACUGGCAGUCUUGAGUACAGUAGAGGUGGGCGGAAUGCGUGGUGUAGCGGUGAAAUGCUUAGAUAUCACGAAGAACUCCGAUUGCGAAGGCAGCUCACUAAACUGCAACUGACACUGAGGCUCGAAAGCGUGGGUAUCAAACAGGAUUAGAUACCCUAGUAGUC
This 460-nucleotide ribosomal RNA is filed under the name uncultured bacterium. Its description in RNAcentral is "partial 16S ribosomal RNA". It matches the Rfam family "Bacterial small subunit ribosomal RNA", at positions 338 to 795 of the family's 1533-position model. The record is from RNAcentral.